RNAcentral lists this ribosomal RNA (624 nucleotides) under uncultured bacterium. RNAcentral describes it as "bacterial SSU rRNA". It matches the Rfam family "Bacterial small subunit ribosomal RNA", at positions 338 to 950 of the family's 1533-position model. The record is from RNAcentral.
CCUACGGGAGGCAGCAGUGGGGAAUUUUGGACAAUGGGCGAAAGCCUGAUCCAGCAAUGCCGCGUGAGUGAAGAAGGCCUUCGGGUUGUAAAGCUCUUUUGUCAGGGAAGAAACGGUGAGAGCUAAUAUCUCUUGCUAAUGACGGUACCUGAAGAAUAAGCACCGGCUAACUACGUGCCAGCAGCCGCGGUAAUACGUAGGGUGCAAGCGUUAAUCGGAAUUACUGGGCGUAAAGCGUGCGCAGGCGGUUUUGUAAGUCUGAUGUGAAAUCCCCGGGCUCAACCUGGGAAUUGCAUUGGAGACUGCAAGGCUAGAAUCUGGCAGAGGGGGGUAGAAUUCCACGUGUAGCAGUGAAAUGCGUAGAUAUGUGGAGGAACACCGAUGGCGAAGGCAGCCCCCUGGGUCAAGAUUGACGCUCAUGCACGAAAGCGUGGGGAGCAAACAGGAUUAGAUACCCUGGUAGUCCACGCCCUAAACGAUGUCUACUAGUUGUCGGGUUCUUAAUUGACUUGGUAACGCAGCUAACGCGUGAAGUAGACCGCCUGGGGAGUACGGUCGCAAGAUUAAAACUCAAAGUAGUAGUAGACGNGUAGAGAGCGACGACGGCACGACGGGAGGGUUAGG